GACGAACGCUGGCGGCGUGCUUAGCACAUGCAAGUCGAGCGAGAAAGCUCCUUCGGGAGUGAGUACAGCGGCGAACGGGUGGGUAACACGUGGGCAACCUGCCCUAAGGAGCGGGACAACUCGGGGAAACUCGAGCUAAUACCGCAUGAUUCGGCUCUGCAUAAGUAGGGUCGGUAAAUGGUAGCUUCGGCCUCCGCCUUAGGAUGGGCCCGCGCCCGAUUAGCUUGUUGGUGAGGUAAUGGCUCACCAAGGCGACGAUCGGUAGCUGGUCUGAGAGGACGAUCAGCCACACUGGGACUGAGACACGGCCCAGACUCCUACGGGAGGCAGCAGUGGGGAAUCUUGCGCAAUGGGCGAAAGCCUGACGCAGCAACGCCGCGUGGGGGAAGAAGGCCUUCGGGUUGUAAACCUCUUUCAGAUGGGACGAAGCCACCAGGGUUAAUAGCCUAUGGGGUGACGGUACCUUCAGAAGAAGCCCCGGCUAACUACGUGCCAGCAGCCGCGGUAAUACGUAGGGGGCAAGCGUUGUCCGGAAUUAUUGGGCGUAAAGCGCGUGUAGGCGGCUUGGUAAGUCUGGUGUGAAACCUUGGGGCUUAACCCCAAGCCUGCACUGGAUACUGCCUCGCUAGAGUCCGGGAGGGGAGAGGGGAAUUCCCAGUGUAGCGGUGAAAUGCGCAGAUAUUGGGAAGAACACCAGUGGCGAAGGCGCCUCUCUGGAACGGUACUGACGCUGAGACGCGAAAGCGUGGGGAGCGAACAGGAUUAGAUACCCUGGUAGUCCACGCCGUAAACGAUGGGCACUAGAUGUGGGCGGUGUCGACUCCGUCCGUGUCGAAGCU
This 839-nucleotide ribosomal RNA is filed under the name uncultured bacterium. RNAcentral's name for it is "bacterial SSU rRNA". It matches the Rfam family "Bacterial small subunit ribosomal RNA", at positions 28 to 853 of the family's 1533-position model. The record is from RNAcentral.